RNAcentral lists this transfer RNA (73 nucleotides) under Marmota marmota marmota (Alpine marmot). It matches the Rfam family "tRNA". Rfam says of the family: Transfer RNA (tRNA) molecules are approximately 80 nucleotides in length. Their secondary structure includes four short double-helical elements and three loops (D, anti-codon, and T loops). The record is from Rfam by way of RNAcentral. Lineage: Eukaryota; Metazoa; Chordata; Mammalia; Rodentia; Sciuridae. RNAcentral also lists the same sequence under 1 other name.
UGGGGUGUGGCUCAGUGGAAAGAGUACUUACCUAGCAUGUGCAAGGCCCUGGGUUCCAUUCCCAGCACCCCCC